RNAcentral lists this long non-coding RNA (822 nucleotides) under Capsicum annuum. RNAcentral's name for it is "long non-coding RNA (CANN_LNC005348)". The record is from RNAcentral. Lineage: Eukaryota; Viridiplantae; Streptophyta; Magnoliopsida; Solanales; Solanaceae.
UGAACUCCUCUACCUUAAAACACCGACAAUAGCUAAUUUAACUGAAUAACUCAAUACCAAUAAACUAAUGUAAUAUUUUUUUCUAUUCAAUUUAUUAGUAAAACCGUUAUUUCACACCCCUGCUUAAGGAUUACUUGAGGAAUGCCCAUGUCGCUGUUAGGUGGCAUCACAAUGGCGGCUCCGACAUCUGAAGACAGCGGCCAGAGCUUUAGCAAGUCAGCGAAAUGCGUCUAAAUUAAAUAACUUUACCAUACAUAAAAAGUUGAAAUUAAAACAAAGCUGAAUUCGUGAAAUAGCCACAAGUUUAGGAAGCCAUCAAUAUAUUUAGCCACAACUUUGUCUGAAAGAAGCCUUCCCAAGUCAAAUGCCGGAACCCGCCUUUACCGAUAAUGCUGAACAAUACCGAUCAUUGUGCGAGCCAUUGGUUGAUAAGCACAGAAGCCAUGGUCAUAAGCAGUAUAAAAUUUUUAGUACGUUUUUGUCGUUAAACAAACCAGUAAACAACGAUAACCAUCUAAAGCAACAGGUAGAAUGACAUUCAUAUACCAACAGGUAGAAUGACAUUCAUAUACCAACAGACAACACAACGAUAUAAGCAUCAAAUUAACAGUUCCAAUGUCCACUACAUCCUACAAGUUUUACUUGAUCAAACAUGACUGAGAAGCUGAAAUUGUUCCUAAAUCAAGAUACAAGACUACUAAUAUCAAACCAGAUAACAGCGAAGAGACACUAACACCAACUGUCAUUUAAGUCAAGAGACAACAAAGUUAAAGCAGGAACAUUUCACUCCUUGGUGGUUUUGUUUAUGAGUGAUUUGUGAAU